CACGUAGGUGGCUAGGCGUGUCGAGUGUGAAAUCUCCGGGCUCAACCCGGAAAGUGCGCUCGAAACUACCUGGCUGGAGUCCGGGAGAGGGAAUCGGAAUACAGGGUGUAGCGGUGAAAUGCGUUGAUAUCCUGUAGAACACCGGAGGCGAAGGCGGAUUCCUUGAACGGUACUGACGCUGAGGCGCGAAAGUCGGGGGAGCAAACA
This 207-nucleotide ribosomal RNA is filed under the name uncultured bacterium. Its description in RNAcentral is "partial 16S ribosomal RNA". It matches the Rfam family "Bacterial small subunit ribosomal RNA", at positions 568 to 774 of the family's 1533-position model. The record is from RNAcentral.